GGAACAUUUUUGAUGGUCAGAACUGUUUGGAGUAUGUAAAUGACCCUACAUUGUGAAACCAGAUAUAUUCAGCGCCAGUAAUGGACAUGCACACACCAAAUCUAUUGUUACUAUAUUAUAUAACUAUAUCAUAACCAUAUUAAUAUACAGAUCGCAAAUACAAUCAAAAUAGUUUUCAGAGAUUGCAAAUGGAAAAAUCUUACAAAACCUG
This is a non-coding RNA of Pelobates cultripes (western spadefoot toad), 211 nucleotides long. The record is from the annotation of a GenBank genome assembly. Lineage: Eukaryota; Metazoa; Chordata; Amphibia; Anura; Pelobatidae.